Non-coding RNA from Microcebus murinus (gray mouse lemur), 1794 nucleotides. The record is from RefSeq and is a predicted model, not a curated record. NCBI's taxonomy places the organism in Eukaryota, Metazoa, Chordata, Mammalia, Primates, Cheirogaleidae.
CACGGCCCGCGGCGUUUGCUCUCGUGUUACGACGACAGCUGGAAGCACUGAGAACUCGUUUCACUCCGCAGGCAGCUUUCCUUGUCAUGGUUGGCAUGCAGGGUGCUCAUAUGUUCUGGGGAUAUCAGUGGCAAGGGGCUGCCAUCAACUUCUGGUCUCAGUGGUGUUGGGAUGGAGCAGUCCAUGUGGAGCUCUGCCCUCGUGUGUGAGGGCCUAAGAAACAGACAUGGAGACUGCGUGGCGAGGAGCUGACUGAAAUGCCUGGUAGAGCCAGACUGGCAGAGAUCUACACCUCUGGUGGAAAGCACUCCAGCUCCCUCACUGGCACGAAGGGCACUGCCCGGCUUACGGUUUGCUGUUCGGUAACUUUGAGGAAGCCCAGGUGGUCACUGUGUACAUUCUUGCCAUCUGGAACAAAUCUCGAAUGCAGAAGGCAGGGCCUUGUUUGGCAAGCAUUUCUAAUUUGAUGUCACCAGCGAAACGACAGACACACACAAACACUCUUGUGCUGUUCCCUGUGAACACGGAGAGACUGACUGCAGGCCACAGUGGGAGCGGCCGGGACGGGGAAUGAAGAUGAAUAGGGAGCCAUGAGAGACACGUCCAGCUUCCCUCAGGUAGUGCAGGGUAGGGGAGAGGCUGAGACCGAGAGAGGGGAGGUAAAGGAGAGGAGAGGGAUAGAGGAAGGGAAGAAGGAAAGGGAGUGGGAGAGCAGGGAAGGGGGUGGAGAGGCGAGGAGGGGAGCACAGGGGAGGGAGGAACGAGAGCCAGCGUCAGUCACUCUUAGAAGUCCACAUAAGAUUGCUGCUACACGGCCAAGAAUAAGAUGGGCCUUCUAGACUUCACAGAGAACUGGACAGGACCCUACUCUAAACUCCGCCAGACCAGCACAAACCCACGAAUCUGGUGCUGGUAUCCGUUCUGUGUGCCUUCUCUAGGGAACAUGCUGCCCGCUACCCACACAUUGAUUUUCUUUAUAAUCUAGUAACAUUAUUAUUAGCUGAGCAAUCUCUAUAUAUGGGGUAAGUACUGCUUUGACCCCCAUUUUACAGAUGGGAUAACUGAUGCAGAGAGAGUUUAAGAAAUUUGGCUGAGGCCAUGCAGCUCAUAAGAGGUGGAGAGGGGUCUGGAGCUGAGCAGUCCGGUGCAGAGCGUCUCCUGAUCGGAGCAGAAACCAGGGCCCCCUGAGAGAGGCGAUGGGAGAGCACACCCCACCAGGCGGCAGGGAGGCAGGAGCCCGGCCCGCAGGCAGUGUGGCUGUGUGAGUGAGCGGCAGGCUGUGGAAGGCGAGGCGGCGGGGUGGCGGGUGCGCACCCUUUCUGCUCCAUGGUUUCUCCACUUGCAACCAAGCAGAGCGAGAAUAGAGAGAAAUAAAAUAUGUAACCCAAAGACAGGACUGUGUUUUAGGCCCUGCCCAGCGCUCUGCUGCUCGAUCCUGAAGCAGCAGGGAAGAAAGUCGGACGCUGCCAUGCACGAAGCUCUUUCCAUGCACAUCUCCUAUGCUGCUCCUCAAACCCGCAGGCCCUGGCGGUCUCUGCUUUAAUCGCGUGGCAAGCUCAGCAGCAGGGAGGCUCAGCAAGUCGGCGCGAUGCCGCCCUGGUGGCACUCGCACCCCUUCCCAGUUUUGUGUGAUCCCAAGUUCCAUUCAGAUUCCAUUCCAAUUUUAGGCCCACAGAGAGACAGGAACUUUGUGAGUCUAAAAUUCCUCAAUUAAAUCACACCGCUGGCAGCGGGCCUGCCAGUGCCAGUUCUCAGACUCCAGGAAGCUGGGGGCCGGCACCCCGCCGCCCGGCA